Molecule: small RNA, 637 nt
Filed under: Pan troglodytes (chimpanzee)
Lineage: Eukaryota; Metazoa; Chordata; Mammalia; Primates; Hominidae
Description: processed transcript
Source: RNAcentral
GGAAGAAGGAAGGAGUCCCUUAGCUCUCUUCAUUGUCCCCUUUACUUCCUGCUAUCUUCUUCUCCUCUUCCUCUCUUUCUCGCCUCUAUGCCUGUAUUUCUGGCAAUAUGACAGGCCUGCCUGCCCAAGAUCAGAACUCCAAAACCACUCCCACCCCUGAAGGUCGGGAGGGUCUGAGCAGCCCUGGUGGCUGCCUGUGCUCAGGUCCUCAGCUCCAUGGGAAAUAAAAAUGGCACCCUGAAUCUCUAGGAUUUUGUCACUUGGAGUCACAGCAAAGUUCUCUUCCUCUUCUCCCCCCGUUGCUGCUCCUUGGUUAUAGAACAUGGUAAAUAUUUAUUACUUUCAGAGAAACCAGAUAUUUUAUAGAGGAAAUAUGUUUGAGGUGAGUUGUUUUUCACUUGGAGAAGGCGGAGGGCUCUUCCUGGGACGGAGACCUCCUCCUCCGGAGACCUACCAUGAAAGGAAUGAGCCCUAGACUGACUCCUGCAGCACCCCCGGGACAGGCUGGGACCAGCUGUUUGUCUCCAGGUGUCAGAGUCCCUCCUCCUCCUCCAACCUCUCCAACCUACUUUGUUUGGAAAUACUGAGCUACACUUCAAAAUGUAUUCAAGGGAUUUCCAAUAAAUUUUUUUCUGUA